This 475-nucleotide ribosomal RNA is filed under the name uncultured organism. RNAcentral describes it as "partial 16S ribosomal RNA". It matches the Rfam family "Bacterial small subunit ribosomal RNA", at positions 334 to 800 of the family's 1533-position model. The record is from RNAcentral.
CACUCCUGCGGGAGGCAGCAGUGGGGAAUUUUGGACAAUGGGCGAAAGCCUGAUCCAGCAAUGCCGCGUGAGUGAAGAAGGCCUUCGGGUUGUAAAGCUCUUUUGUCAGGGAAGAAACGGUGAGAGCUAAUAUCUUUUGCUAAUGACGGUACCUGAAGAAUAAGCACCGGCUAACUACGUGCCAGCAGCCGCGGUAAUACGUAGGGUGCAAGCGUUAAUCGGAAUUACUGGGCGUAAAGCGUGCGCAGGCGGUUUUGUAAGUCUGAUGUGAAAUCCCCGGGCUCAACCUGGGAAUUGCAUUGGAGACUGCAAGGCUAGAAUCUGGCAGAGGGGGGUAGAAUUCCACGUGUAGCAGUGAAAUGCGUAGAUAUGUGGAGGAACACCGAUGGCGAAGGCAGCCCCCUGGGUCAAGAUUGACGCUCAUGCACGAAAGCGUGGGGAGCAAACAGGAUUAGAAACCCUAGUAGUCCCAUGA